UACGUAGGUGGCAAGCGUUGUCCGGAUUUACUGGGCGUAAAGGGCGCGUAGGCGGCUUUUCAAGUGACGGGUGAAAUCCCUCGGCUUAACCGAGGAACUGCCUGUCAGACUGGAAGGCUUGAGACCGGGAGAGGUGAGUGGAAUUCCCAGUGUAGCGGUGAAAUGCGUAGAUAUUGGGAGGAACACCAGUGGCGAAGGCGGCUCACUGGACCGGAACUGACGCUGAGGCGCGAAAGCGUGGGGAGCAAACAGG
This 253-nucleotide ribosomal RNA is filed under the name uncultured bacterium. Its description in RNAcentral is "partial 16S ribosomal RNA". It matches the Rfam family "Bacterial small subunit ribosomal RNA", at positions 524 to 776 of the family's 1533-position model. The record is from RNAcentral.